RNAcentral lists this long non-coding RNA (1243 nucleotides) under Equus caballus (horse). RNAcentral's name for it is "lncRNA (ENSECAG00000057113.1)". Lineage: Eukaryota; Metazoa; Chordata; Mammalia; Perissodactyla; Equidae. The record is from RNAcentral.
GGAUAAGACCCAACUCUUCGGAGCCUCAGUUUAUUAUCAUCUGAAAUACCCGCACAUAUUCGUAAAGAUGGGCACACAAGGGGAAAAGCUGGAAACCAGCUAAAAGGGCCACUAAAGAGGGACCGUGAUGGAUCAGCACAGUGGACAUUGCAGAAUUGAACGAGGCAGGUCACGAUUCACCAGCAUGGAGAGAUUUUUAAAAUACAAUGGUACUUCUCGGGGCCUGAUAGCGCACUGAAUUGAAACUUGCAGCUGAAACAUUGCCAGAAAAAAGAAACACGGGUGCAAGCUCUGAGCCCCAGUCUUCCCGAAGUCACCCUCCCAGGCGAUGCCUUUGUGUCCAUUCACAGCUCAGAAGGUGUGCUGUAGGAGGAGAGGAGGAGAAGGUCAUGGGUGGGGAAAGAGCUGGGUGGAAAUUGCUUGAAACAAAAAUCCCCAGGGAUUGACGUCGGCAAGCCAUUCCCCAAUCUGGACAGCAGGUGGCGGAAGUGACCGAGAUUUCUUUGACCAUCACCAAAGGGUCCAGAAUCCCCUGGUUCUGCUGUAGAAUGUGCUCCUUCUCCAAGGGCACAGACUAGAGGGCUCCUUCACCGUCUCAAGCAGGUCCACAUGCUCUUCCCAGAGAAAGGCUGCAACGUGCUUUGAGAGAAGAGAACCGGCUCCUCGGGAGUAUGCAGGCAGCCACAGUCUGCCCAGCUGAUAAAGAGAUCGCACGAUUGCCAGACCUUUAUAAAACCUGCACAAUAUUAAACACGAAGAGACCGCACAGCAGUGCCUCCGAGAUCCCACUGCUGAGCACUGAGACGUUUCACGGCGUCCCACGGGCAGUGCCUUGGUACUGGCAUGGGGGACAGGGGCCUCCCUUCUGCUCUUAACCCAGGUCCAGCUCUUCCCAGACCCAACCUUCCACCUCCAGUCACAGCGGAGCCCCAGGGCCCCCCUCUAACCCUGGUGUUCCGAAAACAGAGGUCUGCUAGUGCCAAACUACAAGCCGAGAGGGGAAAGAGGGCGCAGGACGGAGUAAUCGGAGAUGACAGAAACAGGGUCAGCCACCUCCUCCCAGAAAAGGGCGAGAUGAGGACAUUCUUUCUCCCCAAACACCAGCAGUGUUCCGGGCUGGCUUGUGAAGCAGGAGCUAUCAGAUGAGGCAUAAAGAGACGCUAUCAGCAGGACCCGGGCAGCCAGAGCCCAAGCCUGGCUCUCCCCCAGGGCUGGGGCUCCCAUGGCAUUCUUCUGCGAGACA